AUUGAACGCUGGCGGCAUGCCUAACACAUGCAAGUCGAACGGUAACAGGGGCUUCGGCCCGCUGACGAGUGGCGGACGGGUGAGUAACGCGUAGGAAUCUUCCCAGUAGCGGGGGAUAGCUCGGCGAAAGCCGGAUUAAUACCGCAUACGCCCCACGGGGGAAAGCAGGGGAUCGUAAGACCUUGCACUAUUGGAUGAGCCUACGUCUGAUUAGCUAGUUGGUAGGUAAAGCCUACCAAGGCGACGAUCAGUAGCUGGUCUGAGAGGACGAUCAGCCACACUGGGACUGAGACACGGCCCAGACUCCUACGGGAGGCAGCAGUGGGGAAUAUUGGACAAUGGGCGCAAGCCUGAUCCAGCAAUGCCGCGUGUGUGAAGAAGGCCUGC
RNAcentral lists this ribosomal RNA (387 nucleotides) under uncultured bacterium. RNAcentral's name for it is "bacterial SSU rRNA". It matches the Rfam family "Bacterial small subunit ribosomal RNA", at positions 30 to 419 of the family's 1533-position model. The record is from RNAcentral.